RNAcentral lists this non-coding RNA (159 nucleotides) under bovine gut metagenome. RNAcentral's name for it is "RT-14 RNA". It matches the Rfam family "RT-14 RNA". From Rfam's summary of the family: Cloacimonetes, Firmicutes, Proteobacteria. Nearby to self-splicing intron genes The record is from RNAcentral.
CUCUAAUACAAUUUUGGGAUUAUAUAUUUUACGGAAUAUAUACAGUAAAGGUAUUAGUAUUAAAGAGAUUUAUUCCUUCCUAAUGUGCAAUGAUUUUAUUGCCCAAGGUAAAAAUGAAUCAGCAAAAUAUGUAUUAGUAGAUUUUCGAAUAUAUGUAUU